RNAcentral lists this ribosomal RNA (432 nucleotides) under uncultured bacterium. Its description in RNAcentral is "partial 16S ribosomal RNA". It matches the Rfam family "Bacterial small subunit ribosomal RNA", at positions 29 to 506 of the family's 1533-position model. The record is from RNAcentral.
AACGAACGCUGGCGGCAGGCCUAACACAUGCAAGUCGAGCGAGAUCUUCGGGUCUAGCGGCGGACGGGUGAGUAACGCGUGGGAAUAUGCCCUUCUCUGCGGAAUAGCCUCGGGAAACUGAGCGUAAUACCGCAUACGCCCUUUGGGGGAAAGAUUUAUCGGAGAAGGAUUAGCCCGCGUUGGAUUAGGUAGUUGGUGGGGUAACGGCCUACCAAGCCGACGAUCCAUAGCUGGUUUGAGAGGAUGAUCAGCCACACUGGGACUGAGACACGGCCCAGACUCCUACGGGAGGCAGCAGUGGGGAAUCUUAGACAAUGGGGGCAACCCUGAUCUAGCCAUGCCGCGUGAGUGAUGAAGGCCUUAGGGUUGUAAAGCUCUUUCAGCUGGGAAGAUAAUGACGGUACCAGCAGAAGAAGCCCCGGCUAACUCCGG